GGUCCUGUGGCGCAAUAGAUAAGGCAUGAGUCUUUGGAACUUAAGAUUCUAGGUUUGAUUCCUGGCAGGUUCA
Non-coding RNA from Massospora cicadina, 73 nucleotides. Lineage: Eukaryota; Fungi; Entomophthoromycota; Entomophthoromycetes; Entomophthorales; Entomophthoraceae. The record is from the annotation of a GenBank genome assembly.